This 497-nucleotide ribosomal RNA is filed under the name uncultured bacterium. RNAcentral's name for it is "partial 16S ribosomal RNA". It matches the Rfam family "Bacterial small subunit ribosomal RNA", at positions 28 to 507 of the family's 1533-position model. The record is from RNAcentral.
GACGAACGCUGGCGGCGUGCCUAAUACAUGCAAGUUGAGCGAUGAAGAUUGGUGCUUGCACCAAUUUGAAGAGCAGCGAACGGGUGAGUAACGCGUGGGGAAUCUGCCUUUGAGCGGGGGACAACAUUUGGAAACGAAUGCUAAUACCGCAUAAUAACUUUAAACAUAAGUUUUAAGUUUGAAAGAUGCAAUUGCAUCACUCAAAGAUGAUCCCGCGUUGUAUUAGCUAGUUGGUGAGGUAAAGGCUCACCAAGGCGAUGAUACAUAGCCGACCUGAGAGGGUGAUCAGCCACAUUGGGACUGAGACACGGCCCAAACUCCUACGGGGGGCAGCAGUAGGGAAUCUUCGGCAAUGGACGAAAGUCUGGCCGAGCAACGCCGCGUGAGUGAAGAAGGUUUUCGGAUCGUAAAACUCUGUUGGUAGAGAAGAACGUUGGUGAGAGUGGAAAGCUCAUCAAGUGACGGUAACUACCCAGAAAGGGACGGCUAACUACGUG